GACGUGGGGGGCCAGCGUUGCUCGGAAUUACUGGGUGUGAAGGGUUCGUAGGCGGUGUAGCAAGUCGGGAGUGACAUCUCUGGGCUCAACCCAGAGACUGCUUCCGAAACUGCUGUGCUUGAGGGUGGGAGAGGUAAGCGGAAUUCCUGGUGUAGAGGUGAAAUGCGUAGAUAUCAGGAGGAACACCUGUGGUGUAGACAGCUUACUGGACCACUUCUGACGCCGAGACACGAAAGCGUGGGUAGCAAACAGG
This 253-nucleotide ribosomal RNA is filed under the name uncultured bacterium. RNAcentral's name for it is "partial 16S ribosomal RNA". It matches the Rfam family "Bacterial small subunit ribosomal RNA", at positions 524 to 776 of the family's 1533-position model. The record is from RNAcentral.